GUCUCACUAGCACAGUGGUUAGUGCACAGCCCCCGAUAGGUUGAGACGCGGGUUCGUAUCCCGUCUGAGAUG
This 72-nucleotide transfer RNA is filed under the name Nippostrongylus brasiliensis. It matches the Rfam family "tRNA". Rfam says of the family: Transfer RNA (tRNA) molecules are approximately 80 nucleotides in length. Their secondary structure includes four short double-helical elements and three loops (D, anti-codon, and T loops). Lineage: Eukaryota; Metazoa; Nematoda; Chromadorea; Rhabditida; Heligmosomidae. The record is from Rfam by way of RNAcentral.